UGGAAGUUGUCAGGUUGUCAGG
RNAcentral lists this non-coding RNA (22 nucleotides) under Mus musculus (house mouse). Lineage: Eukaryota; Metazoa; Chordata; Mammalia; Rodentia; Muridae. The record is from RNAcentral.